This 469-nucleotide ribosomal RNA is filed under the name uncultured bacterium. RNAcentral's name for it is "bacterial SSU rRNA". It matches the Rfam family "Bacterial small subunit ribosomal RNA", at positions 43 to 518 of the family's 1533-position model. The record is from RNAcentral.
CACGACCUAACACAUGACAAGUACGAACGAAGAAGUUUUAAGCUGCUUCUGCUAGUGGCGGACGGGUGAGUAACACGUGAGCAACCUGCCUUAAAGAGGGGGACAACAGUUGGAAACGACUGCUAAUACCGCAUAAUGUGCGCUGGAAGCAUUUCCUAUGCACCAAAGGAGCAAUCCGCUUUAAGAGUGGGCUCGCGCCUGAUUAGAUAGUUGGUGAGGUAACGGCCCACCAAGUCUGCGAUCAGUAGCCGGACUGAGAGGUUGAACGGCCACAUUGGGACUGAGACACGGCCCAGACUCCUACGGGAGGCAGCAGGUGGGGGAUAUUGGUCAAAGUGGGGGAAACCCUGAACCAGCGAUGCCGCGUGAGGGAAGUAAGGUUUUCGGAUUAGUAAACCUCUGUCAGUCGGGGAAGAUAAUGACCGGUACCCGAGAAGGAAGCCACGGCUAACUACGUGCCAGCCGCCGC